This 497-nucleotide ribosomal RNA is filed under the name uncultured bacterium. RNAcentral's name for it is "partial 16S ribosomal RNA". It matches the Rfam family "Bacterial small subunit ribosomal RNA", at positions 28 to 507 of the family's 1533-position model. The record is from RNAcentral.
GAUGAACGCUGGCGGCGUGCCUAAUACAUGCAAGUCGAGCGAACAGACGAGGAGCUUGCUCCUCUGACGUUAGCGGCGGACGGGUGAGUAACACGUGGAUAACCUCCCUAUCAGACUGGGAUAACUUCGGGAAACCGGCGCUAAUACCGGAUAAUCUAUUGAACCGCAUGGUUCAAUAGUGAAAGACGGUUUUGCUGUCACUUAUAGAUGGAUCCGCGCCGCAUUAGCUAGUUGGUAAGGUAAAGGCUUACCAAGGGAACGAUGCGUAGCCGACCUGAGAGGGUGAUCGGCCACACUGGAACUGAGACACGGUCCAUACUCCUACGGGAGGCAGCAGUAGGGAAUCUUCCGCAAUGGGCGAGAGCCUGACGGAGCAACGCCGCGUGAGUGAUGAAGGUCUUCGGAUCGUAAAGCUCGGUUAUGAGCGAAGAACAAAUGUGUAAGUAACUAUGCACGUCUUGACGGUACCUAAUCAGAAAGCCACGGCUAACUACGUG